GGGCCUGUAGCUCAGUGGUUAGAGCAAUCGGCUCAUAACCGAAUGGUCCCUGGUUCAAGUCCAGGCAGGCCCACCA
This 76-nucleotide transfer RNA is filed under the name Deltaproteobacteria bacterium. RNAcentral describes it as "tRNA-Met". It matches the Rfam family "tRNA". Rfam says of the family: Transfer RNA (tRNA) molecules are approximately 80 nucleotides in length. Their secondary structure includes four short double-helical elements and three loops (D, anti-codon, and T loops). The record is from RNAcentral. Lineage: Bacteria; Pseudomonadati; Myxococcota; Myxococcia.